Molecule: ribosomal RNA, 362 nt
Filed under: uncultured soil bacterium
Lineage: Bacteria
Description: bacterial SSU rRNA
Rfam family: Bacterial small subunit ribosomal RNA
Source: RNAcentral
AGAACGAACGCUGGCGGCAUGCCUAACACAUGCAAGUCGAACGAGACCUUCGGGUCUAGUGGCGCACGGGUGCGUAACGCGUGGGAAUCUGCCCUUGGGUUCGGAAUAACAGUUGGAAACGACUGCUAAUACCGGAUGAUGACGUAAGUCCAAAGAUUUAUCGCCCAGGGAUGAGCCCGCGUAGGAUUAGCUAGUUGGUGAGGUAAAGGCUCACCAAGGCGACGAUCCUUAGCUGGUCUGAGAGGAUGAUCAGCCACACUGGGACUGAGACACGGCCCAGACUCCUACGGGAGCAGCAGUAGGGAAUAGUGGACAAGUGGGGCAACCUGAUCAGCAAUGCGCGUGAGUGAUGAGGCUUAGGU